GACGAACGCUGGCGGCGUGCUUAACACAUGCAAGUCGAACGAUGAAGAAAAGAAUUGAAGCUUCGGCAGAAAUUCAUUUCGGAUUAGUGGCAGACGGGUGAGUAACGCGUGAGCAACCUACCUCUUACAAAGGGAUAGCCUCGGGAAACCGGGAUUAAUACCAUAUAACAUUGCGACGAAGCAUUUCGAUGCAAUCAAAGCUACGGCGGUAAGAGAUGGGCUCGCGUCCCAUUAACCAGAUGGUGAGGUAACGGCUCACCAUAGUAACGAUGGGUAACCGGCCUGAGAGGGUGAACGGUCAUACUGGAACUGAGACACGGUCCAGACUCCUACGGGAGGCAGCAGUGGGGAAUAUUGCACAAUGGAGGGAACUCUGAUGCAGCGACGCCGCGUGAGUGAUGAAGGAAUUCGUUUCGUAAAACUCUGUUCUAUGGGAAGAAAAGGACUGUACCAUAGGAGAAAGCUCCGGCUAAAUACGUG
RNAcentral lists this ribosomal RNA (480 nucleotides) under uncultured bacterium. Its description in RNAcentral is "partial 16S ribosomal RNA". It matches the Rfam family "Bacterial small subunit ribosomal RNA", at positions 28 to 507 of the family's 1533-position model. The record is from RNAcentral.